AACGCGAAGAACCUUACCUGGGCUCGAAGCGUACCUGACCAUCCCGAGAAAUCGGGACUUCCCGCAAGGGACAGGUGCGGAGGUGCUGCAUGGCUGUCGUCAGCUCGUGCCGUGAGGUGUUGGGUUAAGUCCCGCAACGAGCGCAACCCUUAUCCUUAGUUGCCACCCGCAAGGGGGAACUCUAAGGGGACUGCUCCGGAUAACGGAGAGGAAGGUGGGGAUGACGUCAAGUCAGCAUGGCCUUUAUGUCCAGGGCUACACACGUGUUACAAUGCGCGCCACAAAGCGCUGCGAACCCGCGAGGGGGAGCUAAUCGCAAAAAAGCGCGCUCAGUUCGGAUUGCAGUCUGCAACUCGGCUGCAUGAAGCCGGAAUCGCUAGUAAUGGCGCAUCAGCACGGCGCCGUGAAUACGUUCCCGGGCCUUGUACACACCGCACGA
This 439-nucleotide ribosomal RNA is filed under the name uncultured bacterium. RNAcentral's name for it is "bacterial SSU rRNA". It matches the Rfam family "Bacterial small subunit ribosomal RNA", at positions 958 to 1397 of the family's 1533-position model. The record is from RNAcentral.